This 428-nucleotide ribosomal RNA is filed under the name uncultured Chlamydiae bacterium. Its description in RNAcentral is "bacterial SSU rRNA". It matches the Rfam family "Bacterial small subunit ribosomal RNA", at positions 958 to 1385 of the family's 1533-position model. Lineage: Bacteria; Pseudomonadati; Chlamydiota; Chlamydiia. The record is from RNAcentral.
AACGCGAAGAACCUUACCUGGGCUCGAAAUGUAGAGGACGAUAUCAGAAAUGAUAUUUCUCGAAAGGGUCUUUACAUAGGUGCUGCAUGGCUGUCGUCAGCUCGUGCCGUGAGGUGUUUGGUUAAGUCCAGCAACGAGCGCAACCCUUAUCGUUAGUUGCCAACGCGUAAAGGCGGGAACUCUAACGAGACUGCCUGGGUUAACCAGGAGGAAGGUGAGGAUGACGUCAAGUCCGCAUGGCCUUUAUGUCCAGGGCUACACACGUGCUACAAUGGUCGGUACAGAAGGCAGCGAAACCGUAAGGCGGAGCAAAUCCUGUAAAACCGAUCUCAGUUCAGAUUGUAGACUGCAAUUCGUCUACAUGAAGUUGGAAUUGCUAGUAAUGGCGUGUCAGCAACAACGCCGUGAAUACGUUCCCGGGCCUUGUA